This 798-nucleotide ribosomal RNA is filed under the name uncultured Mollicutes bacterium. Its description in RNAcentral is "bacterial SSU rRNA". It matches the Rfam family "Bacterial small subunit ribosomal RNA", at positions 494 to 1306 of the family's 1533-position model. The record is from RNAcentral. Lineage: Bacteria; Bacillati; Mycoplasmatota; Mollicutes.
CGGCUAACUAUGUGCCAGCAGCCGCGGUAAUACAUAGGUGGCAAGCGUUAUCCGGAUUUAUUGGGCGUAAAGAGUGCACAGGUGGUUAUAUAAGUUUGAUGUUAAAGACCGAAGCUCAACUUCGGUUCGCAUUGAAAACUGUAUAACUAGAAUGCAGGUGGGAAUAGUGGAAUUCGAUGUGUAGCGGUGGAAUGCAUAAAUAUAUCGAGGAACACCAGUGGCGAAGGCGGCUAUUUGAACUGUAAUUGACACUUAAGCACGAAAGCGUGGGGAGCAAAUAGGAUUAGAUACCCUAGUAGUCCACGCCGUAAACGAUCUAGAUUAGAUGUCGGAAUUAUUCGGUAUCGCAGCUAACGCAUUAAAUCUAGCGCCUGGGUAGUACGCACGCAAGUGUAAAACUCAAAGGAAUUGACGGGGACCCGCACAAGUGGUGGAGCAUGUGGUUUAAUUCGAUGAUACGCGAAAAACCUUACCUACGCUUGACAUACUUGGCAAAACUAUAGAGAUAUAGUCGAGGUUAACCAAUGUACAGGUGGUGCAUGGUUGUCGUCAGCUCGUGUCGUGAGAUGUUUGGUUAAGUCCAGCAACGAGCGCAACCCCUAUCCUAUGUUACCAGCAUUAAGUUGGGGACUCAUGGGAGACUGCUAGGGUAACCUAGAGGAAGGUGGGGAUGANGUCAAAUCAUCAUGCCCCUUAUGCGUAGGGCUACACACGUGCUACAAUGGNACAUACAAAGUGCUGCAAACCCGUGAGGGUAAGCGAAUCACAAAAAAUGUAUCUCAGUCCGGAUCGAAGUCU